AGCGGCGGACGGGUGAGUAACACGUGGGUAACCUGCCCAAGAGACUGGGAUAACACCUGGAAACAGAUGCUAAUACCGGAUAACAACACUAGACGCAUGUCUAGAGCUUGAAAGAUGGUUCUGCUAUCACUCUUGGAUGGACCUGCGGUGCAUUAGCUAGUUGGUAAGGUAACGGCUUACCAAGGCAAUGAUGCAUAGCCGAGUUGAGAGACUGAUCGGCCACAUUGGGACUGAGACACGGCCCAAACUCCUACGGGAGGCAGCAGUAGGGAAUCUUCCACAAUGGACGAAAGUCUGAUGGAGCAACGCCGCGUGAGUGAAGAAGGGUUUCGGCUCGUAAAGCUCUGUUGGUAGUGAAGAAAGAUAGAGGUAGUAACUGGCCUUUAUUUGACGGUAAUUACUUAGAAAGUCACGGCUAACUACGUGCCAGCAGCCGCGGUAAUACGUAGGUGGCAAGCGUUGUCCGGAUUUAUUGGGCGUAAAACGAGUGCAGGCGGUUCAAUAAGUCUGAUGUGAAAGCCUUCGGCUCAACCGGAGAAUUGCAUCAGAAACUGUUGAACUUGAGUGCAGAAGAGGAGAGUGGAACUCCAUGUGUAGCGGUGGAAUGCGUAGAUAUAUGGAAGAACACCAGUGGCGAAAGCGGCUCUCUGGUCUGCAACUGACGCUGAGGCUCGAAAGCAUGGGUAGCGAACAGGAUUAGAUACCCUGGGUAGUCCAUGCCGUAAACGAUGAGUGCUAAGUGU
This 743-nucleotide ribosomal RNA is filed under the name uncultured bacterium. Its description in RNAcentral is "bacterial SSU rRNA". It matches the Rfam family "Bacterial small subunit ribosomal RNA", at positions 94 to 823 of the family's 1533-position model. The record is from RNAcentral.